RNAcentral lists this long non-coding RNA (1078 nucleotides) under Marmota monax (woodchuck). Lineage: Eukaryota; Metazoa; Chordata; Mammalia; Rodentia; Sciuridae. The record is from RNAcentral.
CCUUGGCUAUUGUGAGUGGUGCUGAAAUAAACAUGGAGUGCAUUCUCUUUCACAUACUGAUUGGUAUGACUUAGAUAUGAAGUGCCCCUCCAAAACUCAUGUGUUAGACAAUCCAAGAAAGUUUAUAAAGUGAAAUGACUGAGCUAUGAGAACCUUAACCUAAUCAAUACAUUAAUCCAGUUUAAUGGAUUAUCUGGGUGGUAACCAUAGGUGGGUAGGGUAUGGCUGGAGGAGGUAGGUCAUUGGAGAUGUACUUUUGGGAUAUAUGUUUCAUCCCUGGUGAGGGGAGCACUCUCUUUUCUUCCUUGUGGCCAAGUCCUGAACCACUUUCAUCAACCACUUCCUUUCACUGUGAGGUUCUGUCUCAUCUUGGGUACAGAGCAAUGGAAUUGGCCGUCUAUGAACUGAGACCUCUGAAAUCAUGACUGCCAAAUAAAUGUUUAUCCUCUAAAAUUCUUCUUUCUAGGUCUUUUGAUCAUAGUGACAAAAAAGCUGACUAAACUCUGAUUUCAUUUUCUUUGAGUUUAUAUACUAUAAUGAAAUGGCUGGAUCAUACGAUAAUUCUAUUUUGGGGAGUUUUGAAGAACCUGCAUACUGUUACUAUAGUUAAUAAUGUAUUUUGCAUUUCAAAAUAGCUAAAUGUGAGAAUUAUAAGUGUUUUCACCACAAGGAAAGGAAGAUUACUUGAGUUGUUGGUUAUUGCUAAUUACAUUGAUUUGAUCAUUCCACAGUCUAUACAUGUAGGAAAACAUCUAUUUGAGGUCAGGUGCAGUGGUGCAUUCCUGUAAUCCCAGCAGCUCCAGAGGCUGAGGCAGGAGGAUUGCCAGUUCAAAGCCAGUCUCAGCAAUUUAGUGAGAACCUAAGGAAUUUAUUGAGACCCAGUCUCUAAAUAAAAUAUAAAGAGGGUUGGGAUAUGGCUCUGAGGUUAAGCACCCCUGGGGUCAAUCCCUGGUAGCAAACAAACAAAAUACCAAAAAAAAAAAUAUCUAUUUGAAGCUCAUAACUAUAUACAGUUAUCUUUCAGUUAAAAAUAAAACUUUAAAAAAACAACACCAUAUCAAAAACCAGCACACUUAUG